GAUGAACGCUAGCGGCAGGCUUAACACAUGCAAGUCGGGCGGCAGCGGGGUGGGAGCUUGCUCCCACUGCCGGCGAGCGGCGCACGGGUGAGUAACACGUAUGCAACCUGCCCCUGUCAGGGGGACAACCCGCCGAAAGGCGGGCUAAACCCGCGUACAUGCCACCGGGGCAUCCCGGAGGCAGGAAAGGCUUCGGCCGGACAGGGAUGGGCAUGCGGCGCAUUAGGCAGUAGGCGGGGUAACGGCCCACCUAACCGACGAUGCGUAGGGGUUCUGAGAGGAAGGUCCCCCACACUGGUACUGAGACACGGACCAG
This 316-nucleotide ribosomal RNA is filed under the name uncultured bacterium. RNAcentral describes it as "bacterial SSU rRNA". It matches the Rfam family "Bacterial small subunit ribosomal RNA", at positions 28 to 334 of the family's 1533-position model. The record is from RNAcentral.